UGGGGAAUAUUGCGCAAUGGGGGGAACCCUGACGCAGCGACGCCGCGUGAGCGAAGAAGGCCUUCGGGUCGUAAAGCUCUGUUCUUGGGGGCGAAAGAUAUGACGGUACCCAAGGAGAAAGCCCCGGCUAACUACGUGCCAGCAGCCGCGGUAAUACGUAGGGGGCAAGCGUUGUCCGGAAUUACUGGGCGUAAAGGGCGUGUAGGCGGCCAUGUAUGUCAGGUGUGAAAUGCCACGGCUUAACCGAGGCACUGCAUUUGAAACUGCAUGGCUUGAGUGCAGGAGAGGGAAGUGGAAUUCCUAGUGUAGCGGUGAAAUGCGUAGAUAUUAGGAGGAACACCAGUGGCGAAGGCGACUUCCUGGACUGUAACUGACGCUGAGGCGCGAAAGCGUGGGUAGCAAACAGG
RNAcentral lists this ribosomal RNA (407 nucleotides) under uncultured prokaryote. Its description in RNAcentral is "bacterial SSU rRNA". It matches the Rfam family "Bacterial small subunit ribosomal RNA", at positions 355 to 776 of the family's 1533-position model. RNAcentral also lists the same sequence under 1 other name. The record is from RNAcentral.